Molecule: long non-coding RNA, 1425 nt
Organism: Fukomys damarensis (Damara mole-rat)
Lineage: Eukaryota; Metazoa; Chordata; Mammalia; Rodentia; Bathyergidae
Exons: 4
Source: RefSeq, a predicted model, not a curated record
CGGGGCGGCGUCCGCCCCGCUGGGGUCCCCGCGUCCCGAGGAGCGGGGCCAGAAACCCUGGGUGUGGUUUGCUUGAGAGUUUCCGAGUCCCGGGGCAGGACUGGUGGGUCCCGAGCCCCUACGGCAGACCUGGGCCCCCUGGUGGCUGAACCGCGUGGACGCACAGCUGACGCCCCUGGAAGGCGGUCUCGCUCGUCCUCUGGUUUAUAAAGAGGUGCUUGGGAAGCCGUCCUCUCCUUCUUCCCCCACUGCCACCCACCCACCCCCUCGCGAGCGUGGGGAAGAGGCCUGCCGGGUACUGCUCCUUUCCUGUCUUCGGGUCCGACCACGGUCCCGGGAGGAAACACACCCUCUGAUGCUGUGUCCUCUGUUCCCGGAGCCAUGCCACGCCAGCCUGGGCCACAUUCUCUGAAAGCAUCUCUUCCUCAUUACCGGAAUUGGACCCCAGCUUCCUAAGCCUCAGUUGUACCCAGAGGAAACCGAGGAUCAGAGAGAAGACACAACUUGCCCCAGUGCUCAGAGCAAGAUGUAAAGCCAGGGUCACUGUCCUCAGCUUUUUGCCUUUUUAAAGCAUCAGCUCCACGAAAGAGCACGUGAGCUGCAGAGGGAAGUCACUGGUUCAGACUGUGUUUGGAACUUCUUCCGUGGGGAAAGGAGAAGACUAGCACCCACGCCCAGGGCUUGUUGCCAAGAUUUGGUAGGCACUGAACUUGUUCCACCCAGGAUCUGACUUUCACUCGGCACCCAAUACACCAGAGCUGUGAUCUCACUGCCUAGUCGGGGACCAGAAAGACUGUAAAGAAGCCUCGGGAGACCCGGUCUCCCAGCAGGCUGGGAGGGAACCCUGGGGAAAUCCGGCUGCUGCCUUGGAGAGGAUGAGACCGGGUUUGAGAAGAGCAGAUGACAGGUAGCGCUGCCCUAUGUUGAAGGGGAUGUCUACGCCUGCAUCAGUCCCGGUGCCCAUGAUGUGGCUGUGCCCUCCGGAGCCUUCCUGCAGGGUGGCUGGUGACCCGUUGGAGGUGGAGAGGAGGCAAGAGGUGGUAGGUUCCCGGGACCUGAAUGUCCUGGGCAGAACGUCAGCCGCAGAGCCCCUCCCGUUUGGACACACACGCACUCACACACACUUGGUGGGACACCUGAGGAUGUGCCACACAGGCUCCUCUGGGUUCCACUAGGAACCAGGACACUCGACCCUGAACCAGCAGCCCACAUCUUCUCUGCUCCAGCCCGUUCAAGUGCUUGUGUGUAUCUGGGUAAGCCAGGGGGUACCCUGGGGUCCUCCCCCAGGGACUUGCCGCUCCGUGAGGUCCCCUCGGCGUCUCUCCAAGCUUUUGGGGUGGAGGGACACUGGCGGUAGCUGCUGGGGGGCGGUCAACAGGAGUUUCCCAGGAGGGGUGGCCAGGACAAGGACUUGUUACAUCAUAU